CACGUAGGGCGCGAGCGUUGUCCGGAAUUAUUGGGCGUAAAGAGCUCGUAGGCGGCCUGUUGCGUCCGCUGUGAAAGCCCGGGGCUUAACCCCGGGUCUGCAGUGGAUACGGGCAGGCUAGAGGUAGGUAGGGGAGAAUGGAAUUCCUGGUGUAGCGGUGGAAUGCGCAGAUAUCAGGAGGAACACCGGUGGCGAAGGCGGGUCUCUGGGCCGUUACUGACGCUGAGGAGCGAAAGCGUGGGGAGCGAACAGG
This 253-nucleotide ribosomal RNA is filed under the name uncultured bacterium. RNAcentral describes it as "partial 16S ribosomal RNA". It matches the Rfam family "Bacterial small subunit ribosomal RNA", at positions 524 to 776 of the family's 1533-position model. The record is from RNAcentral.